GGGGCCGUGGGGUAGCCUGGUCAUCCUUCCGGCUUUGGGAGCCGGUGACCCGAGUUCAAAUCUCGGCGGCCCCA
This 74-nucleotide transfer RNA is filed under the name Archaeoglobales archaeon ex4484_92. Its description in RNAcentral is "tRNA-Pro". It matches the Rfam family "tRNA". From Rfam's summary of the family: Transfer RNA (tRNA) molecules are approximately 80 nucleotides in length. Their secondary structure includes four short double-helical elements and three loops (D, anti-codon, and T loops). Further hydrogen bonds mediate the characteristic L-shaped molecular structure. tRNAs have two regions of fundamental functional importance: the anti-codon, which is responsible for specific mRNA codon recognition, and the 3' end, to which the tRNAs corresponding amino acid is attached (by aminoacyl-tRNA synthetases). tRNAs cope with the degeneracy of the genetic code in two manners: having more than one tRNA (with a specific anti-codon) for a particular amino acid; and 'wobble' base-pairing, i.e. permitting non-standard base-pairing at the 3rd anti-codon position. Lineage: Archaea; Methanobacteriati; Methanobacteriota; Archaeoglobi; Archaeoglobales. The record is from RNAcentral.